Molecule: ribosomal RNA, 395 nt
Filed under: uncultured bacterium
Lineage: Bacteria
Description: partial 16S ribosomal RNA
Rfam family: Bacterial small subunit ribosomal RNA
Source: RNAcentral
CCUACGGGUGGCAGCAGUGAGGAAUAUUGGUCAAUGGCCGGAAGGCUGAACCAGCCAUGCCGCGUGAAGGUCAGUGCCCUAUGGGCGUUAAACUUCUUUUGUGCGGGAGCAAUAAUGGUCACGUGUGGCCAGACGAGAGUACCGUACGAAUAAGCAUCGGCUAACUCCGUGCCAGCAGCCGCGGUCAUACGGGGGAUGCAAGCGUUAUCCGGAUUUAUUGGGUUUAAAGGGUGCGUAGGCUGGGGGUUAAGUCCGCGGUGAAAUGUCUCGGCUCAACGGGGUGCACGGCCAUUGAUUAUGGCGGGCUGGAAUGCGCAUGCAGAGGGAGGAAUGUGUGGUGUAGCGGUGAAAUGCAUAGAUAUCACACAGAACACCGAUUGCGAAGGCAGCUCACG